This 763-nucleotide ribosomal RNA is filed under the name uncultured Streptococcus sp. RNAcentral describes it as "bacterial SSU rRNA". It matches the Rfam family "Bacterial small subunit ribosomal RNA", at positions 28 to 776 of the family's 1533-position model. Lineage: Bacteria; Bacillati; Bacillota; Bacilli; Lactobacillales; Streptococcaceae. The record is from RNAcentral.
GACGAACGCUGGCGGCGUGCCUAAUACAUGCAAGUAGAACGCUGAAGGAGGAGCUUGCUUCUCUGGAUGAGUUGCGAACGGGUGAGUAACGCGUAGGUAACCUGCCUGGUAGCGGGGGAUAACUAUUGGAAACGAUAGCUAAUACCGCAUAAUAGUAGAUGUUGCAUGACAUUUGCUUAAAAGGUGCAAUUGCAUCGCUACCAGAUGGACCUGCGUUGUAUUAGCUAGUUGGUGGGGUAACGGCUCACCAAGGCGACGAUACAUAGCCGACCUGAGAGGGUGAUCGGCCACACUGGGACUGAGACACGGCCCAGACUCCUACGGGAGGCAGCAGUAGGGAAUCUUCGGCAAUGGACGGAAGUCUGACCGAGCAACGCCGCGUGAGUGAAGAAGGUUUUCGGAUCGUAAAGCUCUGUUGUAAGAGAAGAACGAGUGUGAGAGUGGAAAGUUCACACUGUGACGGUAUCUUACCAGAAAGGGACGGCUAACUACGUGCCAGCAGCCGCGGUAAUACGUAGGUCCCGAGCGUUGUCCGGAUUUAUUGGGCGUAAAGCGAGCGCAGGCGGUUAGAUAAGUCUGAAGUUAAAGGCUGUGGCUUAACCAUAGUACGCUUUGGAAACUGUUUAACUUGAGUGCAAGAGGGGAGAGUGGAAUUCCAUGUGUAGCGGUGAAAUGCGUAGAUAUAUGGAGGAACACCGGUGGCGAAAGCGGCUCUCUGGCUUGUAACUGACGCUGAGGCUCGAAAGCGUGGGGAGCAAACAGG